AUACGUAGGGAGCCAGCGUUGUCCGGAUUUACUGGGUGUAAAGGGCGCGUAGGCGGAUUGGUCAGUCAGAGGUGAAAUCCCGCAGCUUAACUGCGGAGCUGCCUUUGAUACUGCCGAUCUUGAGUUCAGAAGAGAGAGAUGGAAUUCCAGGUGUAGUGGUGAAAUACGUAGAUAUCUGGAAGAACACCAGUGGCGAAGGCGAUCUCUUGGUCUGACACUGACGCUGAGGCGCGAAAGCGUGGGUAGCAAACAGGAUUAGAUACCCUGGUAGUCCACGCUGUAAACUAUGAAUACUAGAUGUUGGGCCGAAUGGUUCAGUGUCGCAGCUAACGCAUUAAGUAUUCCACCUGGGGAGUACGAUCGCAAGGUUGAA
This 373-nucleotide ribosomal RNA is filed under the name uncultured bacterium. RNAcentral describes it as "bacterial SSU rRNA". It matches the Rfam family "Bacterial small subunit ribosomal RNA", at positions 523 to 898 of the family's 1533-position model. The record is from RNAcentral.